GCGUGCCUAAUACAUGCAAGUCGAACGCUUCUUUUUCCACCGGAGCUUGCUCCACCGGAAAAAGAGGAGUGGCGAACGGGUGAGUAACACGUGGGUAACCUGCCCAUCAGAAGGGGAUAACACUUGGAAACAGGUGCUAAUACCGUAUAACAAUCGAAACCGCAUGGUUUUGAUUUGAAAGGCGCUUUCGGGUGUCGCUGAUGGAUGGACCCGCGGUGCAUUAGCUAGUUGGUGAGGUAACGGCUCACCAAGGCCACGAUGCAUAGCCGACCUGAGAGGGUGAUCGGCCACAUUGGGACUGAGACACGGCCCAAACUCCUACGGGAGGCAGCAGUAGGGAAUCUUCGGCAAUGGACGAAAGUCUGACCGAGCAACGCCGCGUGAGUGAAGAAGGUUUUCGGAUCGUAAAACUCUGUUGUUAGAGAAGAACAAGGAUGAGAGUAACUGUUCAUCCCUUGACGGUAUCUAACCAGAAAGCCACGGCUAACUACGUGCCAGCAGCCGCGGUAAUACGUAGGUGGCAAGCGUUGUCCGGAUUUAUUGGGCGUAAAGCGAGCGCAGGCGGUUUCUUAAGUCUGAUGUGAAAGCCCCCGGCUCAACCGGGGAGGGUCAUUGGAAACUGGGAGACUUGAGUGCAGAAGAGGAGAGUGGAAUUCCAUGUGUAGCGGUGAAAUGCGUAGAUAUAUGGAGGAACACCAGUGGCGAAGGCGGCUCUCUGGUCUGUAACUGACGCUGAGGCUCGAAAGCGUGGGGAGCAAACAGGAUUAGAUACCCUGGUAGUCCACGCCGUAAACGAUGAGUGCUAAGUGUUGGAGGGUUUCCGCCCUUCAGUGCUGCAGCUAACGCAUUAAGCACUCCGCCUGGGGAGUACGACCGCAAGGUUGAAACUCAAAGGAAUUGACGGGGGCCCGCACAAGCGGUGGAGCAUGUGGUUUAAUUCGAAGCAACGCGAAGAACCUUACCAGGUCUUGACAUCCUUUGACCACUCUAGAGAUAGAGCUUCCCCUUCGGGGGCAAAGUGACAGGUGGUGCAUGGUUGUCGUCAGCUCGUGUCGUGAGAUGUUGGGUUAAGUCCCGCAACGAGCGCAACCCUUAUUGUUAGUUGCCAUCAUUCAGUUGGGCACUCUAGCAAGACUGCCGGUGACAAACCGGAGGAAGGUGGGGAUGACGUCAAAUCAUCAUGCCCCUUAUGACCUGGGCUACACACGUGCUACAAUGGGAAGUACAACGAGUCGCGAAGUCGCGAGGCUAAGCUAAUCUCUUAAAGCUUCUCUCAGUUCGGAUUGUAGGCUGCAACUCGCCUACAUGAAGCCGGAAUCGCUAGUAAUCGCGGAUCAGCACGCCGCGGUGAAUACGUUCCCGGGCCUUGUACACACCGCCCGUCACACCACGAGAGUUUGUAACACCCGAAGUCGGUGAGGUAACCUUUUAGGAGCCAGCCGCCUAAGGUGGGAUAGAUGAUUGGGGUGAA
RNAcentral lists this ribosomal RNA (1471 nucleotides) under uncultured organism. RNAcentral's name for it is "16S ribosomal RNA". It matches the Rfam family "Bacterial small subunit ribosomal RNA". The record is from RNAcentral.